This 492-nucleotide ribosomal RNA is filed under the name uncultured bacterium. RNAcentral's name for it is "partial 16S ribosomal RNA". It matches the Rfam family "Bacterial small subunit ribosomal RNA", at positions 29 to 507 of the family's 1533-position model. The record is from RNAcentral.
AGUGAACGCUGGCGGUAGGCCUAACACAUGCAAGUCGAACGGCAGCACAGUAAGAGCUUGCUCUUACGGGUGGCGAGUGGCGGACGGGUGAGGAAUACAUCGGAAUCUACUUUUUCGUGGGGGAUAACGUAGGGAAACUUACGCUAAUACCGCAUACGACCUACGGGUGAAAGCAGGGGAUCUUCGGACCUUGCGCGAUUGUAUGAGCCGAUGUCGGAUUAGCUAGUUGGCGGGGUAAAGGCCCACCAAGGCGACGAUCCGUAGCUGGUCUGAGAGGAUGAUCAGCCACACUGGAACUGAGACACGGUCCAGACUCCUACGGGAGGCAGCAGUGGGGAAUAUUGGACAAUGGGCGCGAGCCUGAUCCAGCCAUACCGCGUGGGUGAAGAAGGCCUUCGGGUUGUAAAGCCCUUUUGUUGGGAAAGAAAAGCAGCAGGUUAAUACCCCGCUGUUCUGACGGUACCCAAAGAAUAAGCACCGGCUAACUUCGUG